AGGUGAUGUCACGUGUCCUUGUUAUAAUUUGCAAGGGUGAAAGGGUCAUACAGGGAUGGAUGCAUGGAAAAGUUUCAUGAAAAUGCUUUAUGAGAAAAGACAGAUGAAGACAAUGAUCAUGAAGAAUGCAUGCUGAGACAAUUUGAGGCGCUCAGAACCUCAGACACUCACUCACACUCCUUCGAAAUUUGAUGACAUUGACCGCAAUUCAUUAGGAUUUUAGUACUCUCAGAAAGUCCCCUACGCAGCUCCGUGCAACAUCUGGAUAUGGAUAUAUAUGCUCAUUAUUGUCUCUUAAACCCUCCCACCUACCUUUCUCUUGUAUCAUUAGUUGAUGGUUACCAUCUGUUAGUCGAAAAUAAUUAUUUUUGAUGAAGG
This 378-nucleotide long non-coding RNA is filed under the name Arachis ipaensis. RNAcentral describes it as "long non-coding RNA (AIPA_LNC002601)". The record is from RNAcentral. Lineage: Eukaryota; Viridiplantae; Streptophyta; Magnoliopsida; Fabales; Fabaceae.